GAUGAACGCUGGCGGCGUGCCUAAUACAUGCAAGUCGAGCGAACGGACGAGAAGCUUGCUUCUCUGAUGUUAGCGGCGGACGGGUGAGUAACACGUGGAUAACCUACCUAUAAGACUGGGAUAACUUCGGGAAACCGGAGCUAAUACCGGAUAAUAUUUUGAACCGCAUGGUUCAAAAGUGAAAGACGGUCUUGCUGUCACUUAUAGAUGGAUCCGCGCUGCAUUAGCUAGUUGGUAAGGUAACGGCUUACCAAGGCAACGAUGCAUAGCCGACCUGAGAGGGUGAUCGGCCACACUGGAGCUGAUACACGGUCCAGACUCCUACGGGAGGCAGCAGUAGGGAAUCUUCCGCAAUGGGCGAAAGCCUGACGGAGCAACGCCGCGUGAGUGAUGAAGGUCUUCGGAUCGUAAAACUCUGUUAUUAGGGAAGAACAUAUGUGUAAGUAACUGUGCACAUCUUGACGGUACCUAAUCAGAAAGCCACGGCUAGCUACGUG
RNAcentral lists this ribosomal RNA (497 nucleotides) under uncultured bacterium. Its description in RNAcentral is "partial 16S ribosomal RNA". It matches the Rfam family "Bacterial small subunit ribosomal RNA", at positions 28 to 507 of the family's 1533-position model. The record is from RNAcentral.